Triplophysa rosa is the source of this 135-nucleotide small nucleolar RNA. RefSeq annotates it as small nucleolar RNA SNORA13. NCBI's taxonomy places the organism in Eukaryota, Metazoa, Chordata, Actinopteri, Cypriniformes, Nemacheilidae. The record is from RefSeq and is a predicted model, not a curated record. The transcript has a single exon.
AGCCUUUAUGUGUUGCCCAUUCAUUUCCUUUCCAAAGUGAAUGCGGUGUCAAAUAAGGCUUACAUCAACUCUUGUUGUAAUCUUAAUUGGAAAUAAAAGUACUUCCAUUCAGUAAGCUCUGCAAUAAGAACAUCC